Non-coding RNA from Cinara cedri, 366 nucleotides. The record is from the annotation of a GenBank genome assembly. Lineage: Eukaryota; Metazoa; Arthropoda; Insecta; Hemiptera; Aphididae.
UAAAAUAAAAUUUAAGUAAUUUAUAAAACUAAAUAAUUUAGUAUUUUUGUUAUCGUGUGAUAUACAAAAUUCUAUAUUUAAUAUAUUUAAUGUUAUAAUAAUUUAAGGUUAUAAUGUAAAUAAACUUACAUUACUGUCCAAGGUUUCAAUUGGUAAAAAUGUAUGAGCUGCUUUGUAAGAUGUUACAAAAGUAUCAUUAUGGUUCAUCGUGUAGAAGCAUUAAAAUAUUAUAUCGGAAUUCGUAUAGUGUGUGACAUACAAUAUUUAGUCUUUAAUCUCUUGAACUGUAACCAAGAAAGGCACCAAAUUAAAAUAUGGUACAGAUCAACAAUUAAUAAAAAUUAUAUUUUAUUUUAAUAUUGACAC